This 305-nucleotide ribosomal RNA is filed under the name uncultured bacterium. Its description in RNAcentral is "bacterial SSU rRNA". It matches the Rfam family "Bacterial small subunit ribosomal RNA", at positions 334 to 654 of the family's 1533-position model. The record is from RNAcentral.
UGUGGCCACGGGGGGCAGCAGUGGGGAAUAUUGGGCAAUGGGCGCAAGCCUGACCCAGCAACGCCGCGUGAGGGAAGAAGGCUUUCGGGUUGUAAACUUCUUUUCUUGGGGACGAAGAAAGUGACGGUACCCAAGGAAUAAGCCACGGCUAACUACGUGCCAGCAGCCGCGGUAAUACGUAGGUGGCAAGCGUUAUCCGGAUUUAUUGGGUUUAAAGGGUGCGCAGGCGGAGGUGCAAGUCAGCGGUCAAAUUGCGGGGCUCAACCCCGUACUGCCGUUGAAACUGCAUCCCUUGAGUGCGCGAG